CCUACGGGAGGCAGCAGUGGGGAAUAUUGCGCAAUGGAGGAAACUCUGACGCAGCAACGCCGCGUGUGUGAAGAAGGCCCUAUGGGUUGUAAAGCACUGUUGAGGUGGGAAGAGCAGGCGGAAGUUAAUACCUUUCGCUCCGACGGUACCAUCUGAGGAAGCACCGGCCAACUCUGUGCCAGCAGCCGCGGUAAU
Molecule: ribosomal RNA, 195 nt
Filed under: uncultured bacterium
Lineage: Bacteria
Description: partial 16S ribosomal RNA
Rfam family: Bacterial small subunit ribosomal RNA
Source: RNAcentral